UAUACAACUUUCAGCAACGGAUCUCUUGGCUCUCGCAUCGAUGAAGAACGCAGCGAAAUGCGAUAAGUAAUGUGAAUUGCAGAAUUCAGUGAAUCAUCGAAUCUUUGAACGCACCUUGCGCUCCUUGGUAUUCCGAGGAGCAUGCCUGUUUGAGUGUCAUUAAAUU
Molecule: ribosomal RNA, 166 nt
Filed under: Hypholoma sublateritium
Lineage: Eukaryota; Fungi; Basidiomycota; Agaricomycetes; Agaricales; Strophariaceae
Description: 5.8S ribosomal RNA
Rfam family: 5.8S ribosomal RNA
About the family: 5.8S ribosomal RNA (5.8S rRNA) is a component of the large subunit of the eukaryotic ribosome.
Source: RNAcentral